UGUGUUUUUACCCCUAUUUUUUCGACUUUGUGAUUUUGCCCCUGCGAUUUGAAAACGAAGCUCCCGUUUACCCCUACUUUGGACGGCCGUUAGAAGGUGCUAUAUUAAACAAAUUAAACAAAUUGAAAAUUAAUAGAAUCGUAUGCGAAAAGACCUCUAUACCCCUUAUCCAUCCAACUUCAACCAGCUCCUCUCAGUCGCACGCACCAAAUCCGGACACAUUCUGACCCAUCCAAACCCUAGACCAGCGGCAGGCGAGCGCGCGAGAACGGCGGCAGGUGAGCGCAGCGGGCCGGCGCCAGGCUGCGCGGAGGGCGAGCUCUUGCGGACGGCGCCAGGCGUGCGCGGAGGGCGAGCGCUUGAGGACGGCGCCAGGCGUGCGCGGAGGGCGAGCGCGGCGGGCCAGCGUGAGGUGACGCGGCUGGCCGUCACCGCGACGCCUCGGCCUCCCUGCUCCACCGCCUCCUCUCCUCGUGAGGUGAGCUCGCCAAACCUCUCGCCCCCCUUCCUCUCUGUCUCGUCCCUCGAUCUGCGCGAGAUCUGGUUGCAUCGGGAUGGUGUUGUUUAUUCCACAAGCACUAGCAUUUCGCGUGGUGGGUCUCUCGGUCUCCGCUCCUCAGCAUCUUUCUUUCUCUGCUUGUUCUGUCCAGUGGUCAGUGAGCAUAUCCCUCUGUGGAUUAGCCCAAAUGGCUUGGUAGUUAACAUUGCCCUUUGCUUCCAUGUCAAAUUGAUAUUCUUUGAUAUUUGCAGCUUCCUCAUUCUUUGAUAAACUAAGCGCGGCUUGACCCGUGGUGGGUGGUCGGCUUGAGGUCACGAUAUGGAUAUUGAUAGGCCAAAUCACAAGGAUUUUGAACUUGUAGUUAGGGUUCGGUCAUUUUUCAGUAUGCCAGAUGGGGGGCCAAAGUUAUGGCGACAGGGUAAAACAUUGCCAACACAAUUUAUUGACAUACAUAACUAUGGUCUGCAGCAGCUAGUUGAUUUCGUAGCUGAACAUUACAUAUGGGGUUCUAAGCAGUUGUGCACUUUAUGGCGUGAUUUGGAGAAUAUAUCUUGUGAGAUAAAAUCUGAUGAAGAAUUGCUUGAUUGGUUUCUACUCAAUCUAGACAAAGGGGUUGCGUGUAUCAAUGUCCAGAUGAAUGAUUUUGAGGGGGCAUUACAAUGUUCACCAACAAAACGUAGAUGUCACCCUUUUCAUCGAGGACCCACAAAUGAGACACCAACUAAUAAUGAUACACCAUCUAAUAAGAGACCCACAAAUGAGAUCCCCACUAAUGAGAGAACCAAUUU
Long non-coding RNA from Panicum virgatum (switchgrass), 1287 nucleotides. RefSeq lists it as uncharacterized. NCBI's taxonomy places the organism in Eukaryota, Viridiplantae, Streptophyta, Magnoliopsida, Poales, Poaceae. The record is from RefSeq and is a predicted model, not a curated record. The transcript is spliced from 2 exons.